GUUUGUGGCCAAACCGCCUUUGCUAUGCCUGAUCCCGUCAGACCUUGGAAGCUAAGCAGGGAAGGGCCUGGUCAGUACUUGGAUGGGAGACCGUUUGGGAACAUCAGGAAGCCUGGCAAAUG
This is a ribosomal RNA of Neogobius melanostomus (round goby), 122 nucleotides long. The record is from Ensembl. Lineage: Eukaryota; Metazoa; Chordata; Actinopteri; Gobiiformes; Gobiidae.